AGGACGAACGCUGGCGGCGUGCUUAACACAUGCAAGUCGAGCGGAAAGGCCCUUCGGGGUACUCGAGCGGCGAACGGGUGAGUAACACGUGAGCAACCUGCCCUUGGCUCUGGGAUAGCCUCCGGAAACGGGGAUUAAUACCGGACAUUCACUUUCUCCUGCAUGGGGGUUGGUGGAAAGUUUUUCGGCCAGGGAGGGGCUCGCGGCCUAUCAGCUUGUUGGCGGGGUAACGGCCCACCAAGGCGACGACGGGUAGCCGGCCUGAGAGGGCGAUCGGCCACACUGGGACUGAGACACGGCCCAGACUCCUACGGGAGGCAGCAGUGGGGAAUAUUGCACAAUGGGCGCAAGCCUGAUGCAGCGACGCCGCGUGGGGGAUGAAGGCCUUCGGGUUGUAAACCCUUUCACCAGGAGCGAAUUCAGACGGUACCUGGGGAAGAAGCGCCGGCUAACGUACGUGCCAGCAGCCGC
Molecule: ribosomal RNA, 471 nt
Filed under: uncultured bacterium
Lineage: Bacteria
Description: SSU rRNA
Rfam family: Bacterial small subunit ribosomal RNA
Source: RNAcentral